CAGCCGCCACGGUAAUACGUAGGUCCCGAGCGUUGUCCGGAUUUAUUGGGCGUAAAGCGAGCGCAGGCGGUUUGAUAAGUCUGAAGUUAAAGGCUGUGGCUCAACCAUAGUUCGCUUUGGAAACUGUCAAACUUGAGUGCAGAAGGGGAGAGUGGAAUUCCAUGUGUAGCGGUGAAAUGCGUAGAUAUAUGGAGGAACACCGGUGGCGAAAGCGGCUCUCUGGUCUGUAACUGACGCUGAGGCUCGAAAGCGUGGGGAGCGAACAGGAUUAGAUACCCGCGUAGUCCCUGUCUCUUAUACA
RNAcentral lists this ribosomal RNA (301 nucleotides) under uncultured bacterium. Its description in RNAcentral is "partial 16S ribosomal RNA". It matches the Rfam family "Bacterial small subunit ribosomal RNA", at positions 509 to 808 of the family's 1533-position model. The record is from RNAcentral.